GCUGAGGUCAGUAAUUGCCCACUGGGAACUAUAAAUUAUAGUUCUCACGCUCUCUGUUUUAUGUUUUCUUUCAGAGCCUUCCACGCCGGGAGAGGCUAGGGACCGUGGGAAGGGCGUCGCAUCGAGUUAGCCCUUCAGCGAGAGAUGAGUUUAGGUGGUUUACCUCUCGAUGUUUUAUUUUGUGAGAGGUUGAGAGUUGUACCCGUAUAUGUAUAGAGACCACCUUUCUUUUGGAUCUUGGUAUUUCUUUUGAGGAGUUAGUAUUGUAUCACCUUAUGUUUUACUUUCUUCGUCUCGAUAUAUUUCCUUUACUCUGGUUUAGAUGAUAGAACUUUGCUCGCUCUGAUAUCGUUAGUUGUUAUUAUUCUAUUUGUACUAUUUCUUGCUUUUAUUUCUGCUUUAUUGUAGACGCCUUAUAUGUGUAGACAUAUGGCGGGUCUAGGCACGCCACCGGGAGGGCCCCCGCCGGUCCCGGGGCGUGACAGAUUAAUUUGGUAUCAGAGCCUAGGGUUGAGUCUUAGAGGACCUCGCAAACCUUAGGCCGGUUGGACUAUAGGAAUUAGGCUCGUCUCGAGAAUACCCUAUCCUCUAGGGUCAUAAUCAUCGUAUAGUCCAUAGGCGUCGUAUACACCGAGUUCAACAUGCAUCACUUGUUUUCUUAUACACUAUCAACUAGAUUGCCACUUGUCCAUGGUUUACUAUCGACUAGAUGCCACUCAUUCUUUGUUUAUCAUUAGACCAACCAUUGAGUCCAUCUCUUCCUCUGCACUAUAGGAUCCUCAAACCUCGACCCAAUCCUUAUCGAUCCACUAUAUCAAACAUCUAUUACAUGCUACGAUAUCAUCAAGGAAAGCAUAAGGAAAGGCAAUGCACAAUCAUCAUAUAAUGCAAUAAUACAAGAUGCAAGAAUCGACAUGUACUAAGACAUAGAAGGGAGCCCGAUUGCUUCGGGAUGGACACCACCCACCUCUUAGUGAUGCCGCGAUGAUAGAAAGCUCGACGUUGCGGUCUUUGCACGUCGCUUCAACUCCUCGGGGCAAAGCGAGCCCUCGAGUACCCGAUUCGGCGAUAACUCCGCACUCGCUCGUCGGAUCGGCAAACCGUCUUCGCCGACGCGUUCCGAGACCUAGCAAUUUGGUUUACGACCUAUUAAGAUAGAUCAAAACCCUAGAUUUAUCAAAAUCCCAAAUCUGUGCCCUAGAAUGGCAACGAGGGAGAAAUCCGUGGUGCAAGCUUCGAUUGCGAGCCCGAACCAUCUACUUAUCUUCUCUAGGUUCUAUUUGAACCAAUUCUAAGCAAUAAAACCCAAUCCUAAGAAAUCUACCAUGGAUGGGUUUGGAGUUUACCUCUAAGCCAAGGUCCAAGCUUGCCCUAGCUUGAAGGAGAGAGGGAAGAAGACCUUCUUCUUCUUCUUCUUCUCCUUCCACUUCUUCCUCUUUUUCUUCUUUUCUUUCUUCUCCUUCUUCUUCUCCUUCUUUUCUUUCUAGAGAGAGAGAGAGGGAAAGAGUGUGAAAGAGAGAGAGAAAGAGCAACUGGGAGGGAGAAAGGGGGGUCCCUAAGCCCUCAUAUAGGCCAUUUUGCAGAUAGCCCCCUCAACUUUUCAUUUCCUGAAACAGCCCUCCCUGGGCCAUUUUCGUAGUGAGGGACCGGUCCCAGCUCGGGGAGACCGGUCCCCGAAGGCUGCCAUUUCGAGCAGAGGGGAUUUCGUGUUCGGGAACCGGUCCUUGCCUGAGAGACCGGUCCCCGGGAGACCGGUGCUGGUCCGAGAGAUCGGUUUCCGAGAGCUGCACUUUCGGGACUUAGCCAAAUUUCGGCUUUUCUCGCUGGGCCAACGUUCGGGAACCGGUCCCUGCCUAUAGGGACCGGUCUCAUCAGAGACCUCCGCAACCCAGCCUGAUGGGACCGGUCCCUCCCUGCCAGGGUGUCACGCCCCGGGACCGGCGGAGGCCCUCCCGGUAGCGUGCCCAGACCCGCCAUAUGUCUACACAUAUAAGGCGUCUACAAUAAAAGCGGAAGUAAAAGCAAGUAAUAAAACAAAUCGAAGAAGUGAAAUAAUGAGCAGCUAAUGAUAUCAGAGCGAGUAAAGUUCUAACAUCUACACCAAGGUAAAGAAAUAAAGCUAGACAAUAAAAGAAGUCAUAAGUAGUACAAUAUCUGUCUCAAAAGUACAAAAACGGUGGUCACUAAUACACUGGUAGAACUCUCAACCUCUCGCAAGAGGAAACAAAAAUCGAGAGGUAGACCACCUAGCAACUCGUCCUCGAAGGAAGCUAGCUAGAAAGCAACUCCCUUCCCGCGAUCCCUGGCCUCACCCUGAGUGGAAGGCUCUGUAAAACAUCGAGAAAAAGAGGGCAUGAGAACUAUAAUUUAUAGUUCCCAGUGGGCAAUUACUGACCUCACUCAUCGCACCACUAGGCCCCAAAAAAGGGGCGUAAGGUAAGAAUAAGCAAAAUAAGAAUAAUUAGUAACAAUGUAGAAGCGUAAUAGACUGGUGCUAAGCCAUAUUCUCAAAGUAAGCAAUGAUGCCAUUGGUAAUGUACAUCUAGCACUACAUUAAGUAAUAAUCCGAUGCAUACUAAUAUGUUCACACAUAAAAGCAAGUAGCCUCACGAUACGUAUGUCAAUGCAUAAGGUAAACUCUUAUCCAAACACGAGUACCUACGAUGACAAUGAUAAUUGGCCAAGUAUACUAAAUUACAAUGCGUAUUACAUAAAUAGCGUGUCAAUAAUUCCAAACUACUCCUAUCUAUAGUGAUUGUUCAUAAAUCAACACGUGUCGAUUUCAUUUCCAAUACAAGGACCAACUCAAGUGGUCCAGCUUGUGCCGCCUAAGUGUCUGUGGUACAUCGACAUCCCUACUCUUGAAGUGUCUUCCCACUCGACCGUAGCACGUGCUUCUCAAUACGCUCACUGAUGCGAACGUAGUCGCGUAGCUAACCCCGGAGUGCCGGCUUUGUAGGAGCGACCCAGCACAGCAUCGUGCGAAUGGACACAAUGGCAAGCAAGCGAGUCCAUAGUCUCCAAAUAUCCAAUCUCAUGUCUCCUAACAUGGUAUCAUCAUAACUAGCAUCCCCGAAGAUCUGCUAGUCACAUUGAAUUGGUAUUUUUUGCCGACGCCUAGCUGCCCUUGAUGAUGACUUAGGCAAUUUGAUGUCGCAACUGUAACCCACAGCUCGCUCGAUGGCACUACUCACGACAGGUUCACAACAUUGUCGCACUCAAUGCCGCUUGAGACAUUAGCAUCUCGUAGUUUCAGCUAUACAUUUAAGUUCAAUACCCUAUAUGCAAUUUUUGUCACUCUUUUACAUGUCUCAAGAUAAACCUUAAGUUAAAUGCAUGAUCCAAAGCUCAUUUACAGCUCAUAUAGAAGCAUGAACUCACCAGUCUCAUAUAGAACUAAUGCAACACAUAGGCCUACCAAGCUAACUCUCUUACUUAACAUAUGAGUCCAAAAUUUCAACAUGCAUAACUUAGCGCGCCUUUUAAGCAUUUCUAAAAUUCCCUGGAAUAAUGUAUAUAAUAAAGAAUAUGCAGCUUUUUCAAUUACCGAGCAUAAAGUAACCAUAUACAUGAGAAUUUCUCCAUAUGUAGGCAGGUCAAACCCCACCGAACGCGUCGCGUAGGUCUCGAUCCCGCGAACAAGUUGGUCCCCGAGUCUCAAAUUAUCCUAUAAAUAAUGUGACGAUACAAGAUAACAUGGGCAUUACGACCUAGUUUAUAAGAUCAAAACUCUUAAGACAUUUUAGCAAAAGGCCCACCAAAACUCACCCAAGCAUAAAAUCCUCUCUAAGCUCUCAAGGAGAGUAAGAAUCAUUCCAAUCCAAAGCCCAAGAGUUCUAGUCCAACACAUCUACUCCAUAAAGCCUCCAAAGCACAAAUGCCCAAUAGACCCUCAAAUUUCCAUUUCUAAGGGUUUGAUCUAUGAAUUCGAUUCACAAAAUUCACUAUUCUAUAGGAGACGACCAAGUAGAUUACCUCCUACGAAGCUCAAUCUACAGCUUGUAACAUCUCUAAGUCCAAGGAUCUCCCUCAACUCUCCAUAACCAAGCCUCAAUAGGGAAAGUCUCAAAUCAACAAAGAGAGGCAAAAGAGGGGUUUAAUCUCUUUAAACAAUAUCCAAAAAAUCAACAGAAAACAAAGAGGUGACAGGGUGGGGCCUCCCCUAUCCUUCUCUCUGUCCAAGCUCAGGAGAGCCACUAGGGGCGUGGGGGAUACAUAUAACAAUCGAACAAUUAGCGAAAAACCCCACUGCAGUUCAAACUGCUUCAAGAAUCUGCCGAAACGUGUAUCGCGUACACCGGAAAGUGUACCGGUCACACAUCUACGAAAUGCGAAACGAAGGCUCGGCGUUCGAAUUUCCCACAGUGUACCUGGUACAGACUACAUCAACGCGUCCGGUACAAUAAUGUGUACGUACGACCAUCAACGAGUCGUACCGUACACCUUGUCAAAUCAAUCCGAGGGUAGGCUAAGUCCAACUUUUUGGUGACCUUAGCGCUACAUAAAAUACUACAAUUCUCGAAAUACGUGCCAUAGGUCGGAACACUGUCAACGACCCACCAGAAAGUCUGGAAAGACUCGGGACACUGUCCAAACACUCGAACCCCGCAAUUUGCAAAAGUCCGGUGCGUCACACAGAGACUGGUCACCGAGAGCAUUUCUGCUCCAGUGCAAGUUUUGCAAUUGGUGCUCUCGCGGACCCUUCCUUAGUGCACUUAAUGCGUUAAAAUCACCUUCGGACUUUCCAAAGCUUACACACUCGACAACUACUCGAUUCUGAUUGAAGUCUAAUCCUCGAGUUUUGAGAAUUCACUUCCUCACACCAUGUCUCCACGGUCCAAGGAUCGAUCACCUCUCCGUCGAACGUAGGCGGAUGGAACUUCGUAAAUCUCGUGAGAGCCGUGUAUCCACGCUCUCGCUCCGCCUCAUCAGCUGCUACCCUCGGCAUAGGGGAUCUAGACACCGCAGGAGGAAUAUCCACCGGUGGGGGUUGCGCCGCCACCGGAACCGGCACAUCGCCUACACCCUCAGUCGCAUUGGGAGCGCGAACCGCAGGCGCAGGCAGAUCGCGGCCUGGACCAACUGCCGCAGCCGCCGCCGCCGCCGCCACAGCUUGUCGCUCCAACAAUUCCUGGAGCCGAUCGAUCGGUCCCAUUAGCGUAGCAACUUGCGCUCGCAACUCCUGUCCCUCGCUAGGCCCAGCUGGCUCUGGCGCCCCCGGAGGCACAGCUGGCUCGAGCACCUCUGGAGGUGGUGCCGGAGCAGUCCUACGCACAUAACGUCUCUUCGGUGCCAUCAACUCCUGAAACGCAAAUAGUUGGUUAAUUAUUUAACCCAACAACGUCGUCGCAGUUAUGAAACAAAACAACCCAACCACAUUAAUCAGACGGAAGCUCUUAGGCGUACUCAUUCUCGACUCUCGGCAUCGUGUCGUCGGCCGCCAACACAACCGCCUUAAGCCAAGAGCUAGUAUCACUCAAUUCAUCUCUAGCAACUACUAGAGUAUCAACACCAAUCUCGACCCAAUCGAUCAACUUCCGUCGCAUCAUAGGUUCACGUCGCACUCACGCACCUAUAACCUUAUGGUUCACCAUCCUAGAGUCUCCUAGGUCAGUCCUAGACUCUCUCUUUUGCUUGCUCUUACUCGCUUUGAUACCACAAACUGUCACGCCCCCGCCCCGAGGCCGAUACCAAUUUGGUCCGGUUCGUGCGCGGCGGAGGACCGCCGAACGGACAGCACCUCCCCUGUCCGCCCAAGGCUCUCUACAAAAGUUAAGUCGUUUAUGGAUAGAUAGACGUAUAGAUAGACACGGACGAAUCUGGAUCACCCCUCUAGCCGCCUCAGCCGCCGGCUUGGGUGACCCUUGAUAAGCAUCAAGAGUAGGGUGAAACAACGUCCAGGCUCAUGCUCAUCGGGGCCACUCCUAGCGCCGUUCCCGCAUCGCGGGAUUACCAUAAUCGUGUAUCGAUCGAAAUGAAGGAAAACGUAAUCGAUGGGAUAUGAAUAUAACUCUCAUCUACAACAUAUCCCACUCCAAAACUCUCCUAACAUGAACAUAUACUAGUAUAAAACCCUUUUCUUGUUUUCUCAACAUUAAUUUACAUAAUUCAACUUACCUACAUUAUCUUAUCAAUUCAUAGAAAGAAAGUAAGUGAACAUACCGACAUAAUGAGCACUACGAACGAGAGCAUAACAUAUCGUGAUAAACACGAAAGCACCAUACUAACACAUACAUAAGUUCAACAACAGGACCCUUGAACAACAUGUGUUAGAGCAGUAANNNNNNNNNNNNNNNAAUUCUUCUCAUAAUCCUUUAACUGCCGUGAAGCAUAAGCAAUCACCCUACCAUGCUGCAUCAGUACGCAACCAAGUCCACUGUGCGAUGCAUCACUGUAGAUCACAAAUCCUUCGCCCAUAACAGGAAGGGCAAGGAUAGGAGCCGACAUUAACCUCAAUCUCAACUCGUCAAAGUACCUCUGACAGUCGUCGCUCCAGACAAAACGAAUCCCCUUCCGCGUCAAGCGCGUGAGGGGUGUGGAAAGCUUCGCAAAGCCUUCCACAAAUCGACGGUAAUAUCCUGCCAGUCCCAGGAAGCUCCGUACCUCAGUAACCGUCGUCGGUCUAGGCCAAUCUCGAAUCGCCUCAAUCUUCUUCGGGUCCACUACUACGCCCUCAGCUGAAAUCACAUGGCCCAAGAAAGCAACCUCCCGUAGCCAGAACUCGCACUUCUUUAACUUGGCAUACAACUUCUUCUCGCGCAGAAGUUGUAGCACAAUCCUCAAGUGCUCCUCAUGCUCAGCAUCACUCCGGGAGUAAAUCAGGAUAUCGUCGAUGAAGACUACCACAAACCUAUCCAAGAACGGCUUGAACACUCUGUUCAUCAAAUCUAUGAAGGCGGCAGGGGCAUUCGUCAAUUCAAAAGGCAUCACCGUGAACUCAUAAUGCCCGUACCGAGUCCGAAAAGCCGUCUUGGGAACAUCCUCCGCCCUCACCCUCAACUGGUGGUAACCUGACUGGAGAUCAAUCUUCGAAAAGACACAAGAUCCCUGUAGCUGAUCAAACAAAUCAUCAAUGCGCGGCAAGGGAUACUUAUUCUUGAUGGUCACUUUAUUCAGCUCCCGGUAAUCCACACAUAACCUGAGCGAACCAUCCUUCUUCUUUACAAAUAACACCGGCGCUCCUCAAGGCGACACACUGGGUCUCACAAACCCUCUAUCCAUCAGAUCAUGAAGUUGCGCCUUUAGCUCUCUCAGCUCUGCCGGUGCCAUCCUGUAAGGUACCUUUGAGAUUGGUGCAGUUCCAGAAACUACAUCAAUCACAAACUCAAUCUCUCUCUCCGGCGGCAACGUCGUCAACUCAGGGGGAAACACAUCCGGAAACUCGCGGACUACUGGGAUGUCCUCGAGUCCCGGCGCCGCCGUAGGUACCUCCACAACUGUCGCUAGGAACGCGAUACACCCACUGCUCAGCAUCUGUCGAGCCCUCGCCGAAGAUAUCCAGGUGGCAAACAGCGUGCUCCUGCAGCCUCUGAAAGUAAACUCCUCCUGGCCUGGCUCGCGGAACGUCACCGUCCUCGCUCCACAGUCGAUCGUAGCAUAGUACCGCGCCAGCCAAUCCAUACCGAGCACUACGUCGAAGUCCUGUAGCUGCCCUAACACGAACAGGUCUGCGGGCAUGAUCGAAGAGUCUAACUGCACCGGACAGGACCAACAACACUCUGUAACCUGCAAGACAUGGUAGGGGAUCUGCACCUCUCGUGCCUGAGACAACGCUCCUAACUCUAGACCAUGCAACAAUGCAAAUGCUCGGCUAACAAAGGAAUGCGAUGCACCGGUAUCAAAAAGAGUGCGAACUCUAAUGCCAGAAAUCAAAGUGAUACCUGCCACCACUCGGUCGGCUGCUGAAGAGUCCUCCACCUGAGCUGCGUAGACCCUGCCACUCGGAGCCUGCUGUCGCCGCUCACUCGACCGCGGCACAGACGAUCUGUCCUCCUGGCGGUAGCUCGGUGCUGCUCCGUAAGACUGCUGUGGUGCUGGUGGUGCCGAAGCUGAUGACGGUGCUGGAGAUGCUGCUCGGGGACAAGCUGCCCUCAUGUGUCCCGGCUGACCACAUCCGUAGCACCUGCCCUCUCUCUGCUCGCACUGCCGAGGCCAGUGUGGUCCCCCGCAGAUCACACACUGUGGCGUCCUCUGAGUCUGCCCCUGCUGACGGGAUCCCCUGGAACGCUGACGCCCCGAAGACCCACGACCCUGAGAACGUGAUCGUGGAGGUCUCGGCGGACGUCUGCUGCUCGACUGCCCUCCGUCAUCUGGAAAGGGGCGCUUCCUGUCCUGACCCUGCCCCACGGCCUGAGUCCUCUCCUGCAGCGACACCUCACCUCUCUCCACCCAUAGGGCCUGCUCUAUGGACGCAUCCAGGGUCCUCGACCUCUGCGCCCGCACUAACCUGAAGAUGUCCGGUCUCAGCCCCUGCUCGAACAUGUAUACUCUGUGCGCCUCGUCUCUGGCCGCAAAUGGUACACAGUUCAGGAGUCGAGUAAACUCCCGAACGUACUCCUGCACUGGGCGAUCUCCCUGCUGAAGCCUCCUCAAAUCCUCCUCGAGCUUCUGCUUCACACUGUUGGGAAAGAACAUCCCAAACAGCAUUCCACAGAACUCAUCCCAACUCAGCUGCGCCGCCACUAGCCCCUGGUCUCGCCUCGUUCUCCGCCACCAGUCAUGAUCAUCACCUGCUAGACAGUGUACUCCCAGGGGUACCUGCUCCCCCUCUGGAACGAACAGAUCCUCGAAUAACUUCUCCAUCGCACUGACCCAUCCCUCAACAAUCCAGGCCUCAGUGCUUCUGCCAUCGAAGAUCGGUGGAUCAAAUCGGCAAAAACGAGCUAACCUCUCCGUCCACCGCUCCUGCUCGGCCUCAGUCAACGGUACUGGCCCCCUAGCAGGCGUAACUGGCGCUACUGGAACUGCUGCCGAUGGAGGAACUGCUGCAGCUGGUGCUGUCACUGGGGUAGUCGGGGGUGGAACUGGCGACUCUGGUGCCCUCGGUACAGAACUCGGUGGCUGAGCUAUCCUCUCACACAACCUCUGCAAUAGCUCCCCCUGCUGUCUCGUCACCUCGGUCAGGGCAGCUAACUGUGCACUCAAAUCAGGAGGUGCGCUAGUCUCCGGUCGGGCCCUCUGCUAAACAACUGGGGGUGCACUCGCCUCUGCCUGCUCAGGCAUCUCGGGAGAUCUAGCACGAUCCUGCGCCAACUGCGCACGCUCCCGCAACGACGGUCGACCUCGGCGACGAUACAUAACUGAAAGGAACAAAUCGGGGUCAGUUGAAACACAAACACUCUUGACCCAAUCAACGAAAGUCUGGAAGGCGGUCCCUGUUUCCCUCCAAAAUUAUGUCGUCUGCAGCCAACAUAAUUUCUCAGGCCGAAACAGGAACUCCUUCAGUCACUCACUCUACUAUAAGAGGAGUUAGAACAAAUAAUCAUUGACUUUUGCAAUUAAAUUAUGCCUCUCGCGUCCUGCUUUCCUAAGGUUUGCCAAACUUAGGUUUCCUAGGUCCCAACGACCUACAGCAAAGAUCUGAUACCAACUUAAUCUGUCACGCCCCGGAUUACACGUUCCCCGGGCACGCCGACAAAUCCGCCGUAUACAAAUAAAUUUUUCCUGUAUACGAAGCGAUAGCUGUACCUGUAAAUCAAACACUACUACGAAAAGUAGUAGAGAGCUGCUAGAGAAAACAGAAGCUAAAUAAAACAGAGUUUCAUAUACAUAGUUCAGAUCCAAAAUACAGAGCUACUCGCACUGGCGAGUUAAGUCAACUAUGUACAUAAACUCGAAACAAAACAUCUACCUGCAGUAGGGCACCUCUAGCUCAGUGCGUCGGGUAGGGCUCUAACUCGCGAUGCCCUUGCCUCGAUCCUGGUCCGCAGACGGUGCAGCAGCCGGCACCUGUGGCUCUGCAAAAACAUAGGUAACAACUGGGCGUGAGAACUACUGUAAAAACAAGUAGUCCUCAGUGGGUACCGCCCAAAACAACAUCGGUCACCCACUAAGUCUACAGAAGGGAGCUAAGAUAGAAGGAAAGCAGGAAUCAUACUCUACCGCUAUCAUCCACUACACUAUCAUGCUCUACACUAACCAACUGUAGAAAAUGUCAAAUCUGACCCAAUCCAAUCGGGACUGUAAGCAUACCCGUCCCCGGGACUGUGAAUACACCCGUCCCUGCCCCGUUGCGACUAUCAAGCUCUAUCCACACUAACUGGUCCGUGGAGAGCAAGUCCAACUGGCAUGAGCGACACCAACGCAAAAGCACAAGCCUGACUCCGGAGUGGCACUCGUGGGCGCUACCCAACCGAGUAUGCAGCGUAUCUCUGUCGAGCUCAAUCAGGCUCCAACUAGCCAAGGUCAAGUGAUCGACUCAAACUGGUCAAACAACCAACAGGUAACGUGCCCUCGGCACAAUCUGACGCCAAAAAGGCGAUACGGGUCCACCGUCAACUCUGACGGCACCCAACAGUCCGAAACGACCUGAACAACCCUGUAAAAAUCUACUCGGCGAACCAGCACGAGUGUAAAUACAUUCUAAACUACCUGGAGUACUCGUCUCGAAGAAACUGCGACAGUACAAUUUUCUAACGGCUCCUAGAGCUAAAUCAGGUAGUUAAAACUGGUGACAGGCCCAAAUCGCAAGUUUUCUCCUAAUUCAAUUUCCAAGUCCAACAUAUAUAAUCUAUUUACUUGAUAAAAUAUGCUCGAAAAUUCAGAUUUUACAUUCUAAAGAUAAUCCAUGAAUUUGAGCUAAACUUUAAUUACCGAAAUCAAGAUCUAUACAUGUCGACCAAUAAGAACUUAGGAGUAAAGCCGAUGUAACCCACCUAAAAAUGCAAAUCCUUGGCAGCGAAGGACUCCCACUGGUGUAGAGCAACUUGCUGGAUCAAACGCACAGCUCCGAGUCCAGAAAUCGUCCACGCUCGAGCUCCACACGACAAUAAAUCACCGUUUCAGUCCCGAAUUUCAGCAGUGAGGUACAACAGGGAUUCGACCAAGCUUACCUUCACCAAAUCCAGCAAGUUAGGGCUUCGUGGAUUCCUCUCGUAGUCCUGAAUCCAACGAGCCAAGUCUCGUCGCAAUCCGAUGCUCCUACGUCGAGAACGAGCCAAAAUACAAACAGUCGACGGUGAAAUUCUGCGAAAACAGCACUUAAGCUCUAAUUUGAUGAUACCCGGAUUAAUCGAAGCCACUCCAACAGACACUCACCUCGACAACACCGGGCACCGCUGCGACAGCAAAAACGGCGAAAUCCUCCUCUCGCCCGGCCUUCUCGCGCUGUAACGGCAGCAACCGUAUCCCCGGACGGCUCCGCGGCGCGACGUCGGCAACGAAAGCUCCAACCGAGAUCCUCCCUAGCCUAAGAUCUGUUGGAGAGUGAGAGAGAGGAAGUAGCAACAGAGGAACUCCCUCUCUCUGUCCUCAUAAGGCUAAAUAGAGAGAGAGAGGGCUGGUGAUACAAACGAGGGAGAGAAAAGACCAAAACACCCUCUCACCUACCCUGGUGUACCGGUACACGGGAUUGCGUACCGGUACAGGAAGCAACCCGAGAGCAGAUUGCGCGGCAUCAGUAUAGUGUACCGGUACGCCAUGAUGGCUGUACCGGUACAGCAAGCAGAAAAAUCUGCUAUUUUGCAGAUUUCUUCGCUAAAAGCCGCCCUCGCGUCGCACAGAGUCCGUUUUGCAUCAAUUUGACGCCAACGCGACUAGGACUUGUCCCGACACUCUCCAGAGCUGCCGACAAGCCUCCACAACUGAACACCAGGGAUCUCACACUUUGACUUUGUGGACCCUUCGUAGGUCUGGUCGAUGGCUUUGUACAUCUUAGGGACAAACGCGACAGAGAUACAUGUGGGUAUUUCGAUCCGAAGUCGGUCUAGUGGUGCACGCUCGCUGAUGUUCCCUCCACCUUCACUUUCUAUACUUCUUGCAUUACUUGUGAUUGUUAAGCCUGACACCAUACGACCCUAUUGCAUGUUGCUCUACUUAGUUAUUUUUAUAUUCACUUAUUGUGAUCCACAAGUAAAGCAAUUAUUUACUAUCCCAUGGAUUGUGACAUCCGUUGUGACCUAGUUGGUCAGUUAUGUGACUCUCGUUGUUUGAUGAUCUAUUUGGUCAGUAUAACUUGAGGGGUUUAAUUGUUGGCUACUUGCCGACAACUAUUGAUCAUAUUUGCAUCGAUCGUCAUUGCUCAUACGCAUUUCACGUACACCAGCGAUUUGGACACCGCAACGGUGUUCUUUUUCGAAAAUGUGGUCAGACUUCCGACCCGUGAACCCAGAAACUUAUGCUACCGCAAUGGUGUUCUUUCCGAAAAAUUGAUCGGACUUCCACCAUUACUCGUACGCUUUUUACGUACACCAGCGAUUUGGCCACCGUAACGGUGUUUUUUUUUUCGAAAAAGUGGUCAAACUUCCGACCUGUGAGCCCAAGAACUUAUACUAGGGUUAUAUGCUAUUUAGAGCGGCGUGACACUUGCCUGAGGUCUUUAGACCGACACGGCGGAUCUGGAUUGGUUAUUUUGAUGAAAAGGACUUGUAUAAAUGUUAACUUGGGAGAUGUAUCAUUUAUAUAAUGAUGUAUGAAAAAGAUGUUAGAAAAUUGCGUACGGUAAAACGCAGCGGAAAAAGAAAUCAAACAAAUUUGAUUUUGAAAAACUCUCGAGAUCUAAUCUCAAAAACCACGCAAUUAGGAUCCCUCAUGUUCUUUAAGAUUAAAGGAGAAAAGUAAGAUCGAAUCAUUACUUUUUUCGCGGAUAAAUUCUUGCCUCAAUUUGAUAAUCGUGGAAUCGGGUUCUCUUGAAGCCGCACACGCGUCCGGCCUCUAUAGGUAUCCACAUGAGGUUCUUGAUUUGAUCGAUGUCCUCACCGGGGUGCUAGCUCCCUUGCAAAAGGACGUCUUUCUUGCUAGAUGAUGGAAGAGAGAAGAGAGGAUAGAUGACGGCUUGGGUUUUCUAAAAACUCCCGUAUAUUAUAUAUAGGAAUAUAAUCCUAUUCCUAAUAAUAUAAUGACAAUUAAGGAUAAGUAUAAAUCUAGAUUUAAAUUUAUCUUUUCCUUAAUUGGUUAGAUCGAUCAAAUCCUAAUUUGAUUCGACUUGAAUUUUAUAUUAAUUUGAUCUUAUCAAAUUAAUAAUGCAACAUUUGCACAUAAGUCCUCUUAUAAUUUACUAACUAUUAGUAAGUCCUCUCUUGUAACAUUUACACUUUAAUACCACUAAUUUGUAACAAUUACAAAUUAGUCCAAUUAUCAACAUAUUGACAAUUAGGUCCUCCGGCGAUUCAAUAAUCGCGAUCUAGCUAUCCGAUCAAUCACAACCUCUUAUGUGUGUGACCCCAUAGGUUCUAUUCUAUCUGGUAGUGAGAUAUAUUUUGAUCACUAUCAACAAUAUCACUGAAACUCCUUUCAAUGGAUUAGAACAAUUCCAACUCAGCCCAAUGAGAAUUAUCGAUCAUCUAGAUAAUUCUCAUGAGUCUCACAAUCCACCAGUGACGCCUAGCAGCAUGUAGUGGCAUUCCAGUAGAAUGGAAUACUGAACCUCUUGGUGCAGUUACCGUGUGAUACAAUCCUUCUAUCAUGAGUCCCGACUAGACGGAGGUUAUGGAAUAACUCGUCAAACCCCAUCGUCUGUCAUAUGUUAAAUUUAUUCGACUCGAGUUUCUAAUAUCGGAAACCCUUUUCCGCUAUUUAUUCUGCCCUGGCCAAGGUCUUCUAAACUCGGUCUCAUAAAUCACAUAGGACUAACACCCCUAUCUACCAAGGGAGAUAGAUUCCAUCUAAGUGCGCACCCUAUUCCUACAAUGAACCUACUGCAGCCAACAUGCACCGCAAGGACCCGAAUGGCUAGGGACCAAGUGUAUGUACAGUCAAACUACAGUAACCUCAUUGUGAAUAGCCGAGGCACCGCAGGUCAAAGGACCAGUCACACUACUGCAACAAUUGAGUAAGUCACUGACGAGUGAGUAGACAUCCAAGUGACUUCUCGCGUUGGUCACGCUCGGUACCCUUGUUCUCUAACAACCACCUGCAUAUUCGCUUCAGUGUCCCCACACUGUCGACUCGAAACUCGUCUACCCUGAAAGGGAAGCGACUUAUGCACCAAUCUCAUUGGAUCAAUCACCGUCCCCGUGAUGAUCCAUUGAUCGGGAGCAUUUAGGAAUUAAUCACCAAUGACACAUGUCUCAAAUUCUCAACACUUGAGAAUAUAUGUCAUCAUCUUAUUAAUUCCUUGGACGAUUCAUGGACACAUACACAACAUGAAUGGAAAUAAAAACCCAAAGUUAUUCAUAAUAUUUUAAAAUCAAAUACAAAAUUAUGUCCUAGAAAGAAUACAUGUGUCGGCCUGGUUGGCUUCUAGGGCAUACAUCUAACAAAAGAUAGUUGUAUUUUGGUUAAAGUAAUCAAAGUUCAAUGUAUGGAUGUAAUAGUUAGAAUUUACUUUCACUUGCUUGGUUACUUGCUCUCGUGAAAGUCAUGUGUAUUGAUGUUUUUUCUAAGCAACUCAUAAUACAUGCUACUGUUGUUGUGGUUGAGCCUUGGGCGAACAGGGGAGAUUCUAUCCGUUCGGCGUCUGUGCGCGUACCCGAACCGACCAAAUUGGCUGUCACAGGGCAUGACAGUAAGUGAUUAGGCAAGAUACAUGUACAACUACCGCUACUGUUAGUAAAAUGCAACAAAAGAUGAACAUAAGGGGUACAACUAAUGCCACAGGAGUCCACUACCUAGGGCGCUAUGCCCUUGCCGCGACCCUCCACCACCCCGCUCGUGCUAGGAUCCGCAAAAAGAGUAGGGUGAGAACUACAAGAAGUUCCUAGUAGGUUCGGCCACCGACCCCACCGACUUUCCCACUAGAUCUAAUCAGGCAUAAGCAGAGAAAGAAAUAGAUAGAUAACCAAUUCUAAACUAAUGCAACUACUAUGUAUGUACAUGAAACGGAGCAAUACAUAUCAUGCAUGCAGUUUUCGUUUGCCUUUAUCUUGUCACGCCCCGGAUAUCACGUUCCUCGGGCACGCCGACAAAUCCGCCGUAUACAAAGAAAUUUUCCCUGUAUACGAAGGGUCAAAAGUACCUGUAGAUAUGCAAUACUACAAACAGUAGGAUAGAGCUGCUCAAUAAACAAAAGCUAAACCAACUGAGCUUCAUAUACAUAGUUCAGAAUCCAAAAUACAGCGUUACUCGCACUGGCGAGUUAAGUACUAUGUACAUAAGCUCGAAGUAAAACAAUUACCUGUGGUAGGGUGCCUCUAGCUCUGUCAGUCGGGUAGGGCUCUAGCUCACGACGCCCUUGCCUCGAUCCUGGUCCGCGGAUGGUGCAGCAACCGGAACCUGUGGCUCUGCAAAAACAUAGGUAACAACUGGGCGUGAGAACUACUGUAAAAACAAGUAGUCCUCAGUGGGUACCGCCCAAAACAACAUCGGUCCACCCACUAAGUCUACAGAAGGGAGCAAGAGUAGUCAGAAAAGCAGGAAAAUAACUCUACCGCUACCGAUCACUACACUAUCAUGCUCUACACUAACCAACUGUAGGAAAUGUCAAAUCUGACCCAAUCCAAUCGGGACUGUAAGCAUACCCGUCCCCGGGACUGUGAAUACACCCGUCCCUGCCCCGUUGCGACUAUCAGGCUCUAUCCACACUAACUGGUCCGUGGAGAGCAAGUCCAACUGGCAUGAGCGACACCAACGCGAAAGCACAAAGCCUGACUCCGGAGUGGCACUCGUGGGCGCUACCCAACCGAGUAUGCAGCGUAUCUCUGUCGAGCUCAAACAGGCUCCAAUUAGCCAACGUCAAGUGAACAGGGUCAAAACAGGUCUACAAACCAAACCCACGUGCCCUCGGCACAAUCUGUGACCAAAACAAGAAUCUGGGUCCACCGCUAACCCGAACGGCACCCCAACGACCCGAAACAGUCUAAACUCUGCUGAAAAAUAAGCUCGGCAUCUCAGCACGAGCGUAAAUGCCUUCUAAACUACCCCAGGUAUCCAUCGCAACGAUACUGCAACGAUACAAUCGAAUCACGGCUCCUAGAGCUAAAUCUGGUAGUUUAAGCAUAUGACGAUUCCAAUCGUGUGUUUUCCUAAGUCAAUUCCCAGUCCAACAUGUACAUUUAAGAUUUACUAGUCAUGUUCUCAAUACUGAUUAUAUCCAGGAUAGCAUCACGAAUAUCAAGCUACAACAUGAUUACCGAAACUAAAAAUCAUACAUGUUGACGAUUACGGUACUUAGGAAUAAACCGAUGUAAACCCACCUAGAAAGCUAUCCCCUGGCAGCGGUACACUCUCACAGCUGUGGCGCCACCUGCUGGGUCGAUCGUAGCCCUUCGAACCCAAGAAUCGCGCUAACUCCAAGCUCUACACCAAACAAUUCACCGUUUCAGUCUAGUUUUCGCAGCAGUGGAGUACAACAAGGAUUUGACCAAGCUAACCUUCACCAAAAUUCACAAGUAAGGGCGUCUUGGAUUCCUCUCAAAGUCUCGAAUCCAACGAACCAAGUCUUGACGCAAUCCGAUGCUCCUACGUCGAGAACAAGCUGAAAUACUAACAGUCGACGGUGGAUUUCAGCAAACAACAACUAUCCGAGUAGAAGUAGUAAACACUUGCCCAUAAAUCAAGAAAAACUGAAAUACCCACCUCGACAACGCCGAGCACCAGAGUGACAGCGAGAACGGUGAAAAUCCCUGCUCGCCCGACCUCCACGCGCUACCCCGGCGUCAAACACAAGCUCGAACGGCCUCGCGGCGCGACGUCGGCGACAAAACUCCAACCGAGCUCCUCCGUAGCCUAAGAUCGGUUUGGGAGUCAGAGAGAGAGAAAGUAAUAGCAGAGGAACUCCCUCUCUCUGUCCUCACAAGGCUAAAUAGAGAGAGGGAGGGCUGGUGAUACAAACGAGGGAGAGAAAAGACCAAAACACCCUCUCACCUACCCUGGUGUACCGGUACACGGGAUCGCGUACCGGUACAGGAAGCCAACCCGUGAGCAGUCGCGCUCAGCCAAUGUAGUGUACCGGUACACCUCGCUGGCUGUACCGGUACAGCAAGCAGAAAAAUCUGCUAUUUUGCAGAUUUCUUCGCUGAAAGCUGCCCUCGCGUCGCACAGAGUCCGUUUUGCGUCUAUUUGACGCCAACGCGACUCGGACUUGUCCCGACACUCUCCAGAGCUGUCGGCAAGCCUCCACAACUGAACACAAGGGAUCUCACAUAUCUUUACCCAAUCCUUUUGGCUAACCCUUUUUGGUUAACCUCAACUCACCAAACCAAAUCCCUUUUAUCGGAAAGAAUACCGUUCCAACACAACGGGACUGUCUGCUGGGGAGAAUUCCGCUACCGCCCAGUUAGUGACAACUCCGGAGUUCACCGCUUGAUGUGGAGCGACCACCCUGAAGCAUAUCAGACUAUCUGUGAGUAUGAUCUAAUCCUCAACCUUGAGGAUACUAACGUUCAUGAUGUUCUAUUUUCUAGCAUUCCAUGUUUCUAGGUGCUAUUCAAUACAUCUAGUUAUAAUGUCGUCAUGUUUACUAUAUUGUCAUCGUCCAUACCUUGAUUCAUACAUUCAUAGGGUUUCAUAUGCCCAAAGUUCUAUUCAUAAUUCAUAUAUAUUCUAAUAUAAGAAAUUCCACGUGUCAACUAUAUAUGAACAUUAACCCUAAAAUGCAUAAUUAUAUACUUAUACAUACAUGUUCAAUGACGACAUAGACAUAACGAGAAAUUUAAUGGUUUCGGAUAGCACUAUCCACCUUGUAGGGAUGCGGAGAUACGAGAAUCUAAGUCCCGCAAUUUAUCUUCACCUAUUUCCCUCGACCCAAUUUAAUAUUUAAAUAUUUAUUUAAAUUUUAAAUUUUAAAAUUUUAAAAUUUAAUAAUUUAAAAUUGUUAAAUUAAUAUUUUUUAAAAAAAAUUAAAUUUUAAAUUUAAAUUAUAAAAUUUAAAUUUAAAUUUAAAUUUUUAAUUUUUAAUUUUUAAUUUUUAAUUUUAAUUUUUAAUUAUUUAAAUUUUAAAUUUGAUAUUUUUUAUUAGGUUAAUUGCAUACACGUCCCUGCAAACAUGAUGAAUUACAGAUAUAUUCCUACAAAGCUUAACUUUCGUAAGUUGUUCCUUCAAAAGUCCUAAUGUAUUCAGAUAUGUCCCUCUGGUUAGGAUCUGUUAAAGAACUGUUAAUUUUUUAACAGUAUGCUCGUGAAAUGAUAAUUUUGUCCUCACAAAUAUGUCCCUCUAAAACCACAUUUGCAGAAAUGUCCUCUCAAUUUUUACCCUUUUCCUCUUUCUCUUCCUCUUCGGGCAGUGGGAGCGGACGGCGACGGCGGCAGAUCAUCGACGACGACGACAAAGAAGAAGAAGGAGGAGAAGAGGAGGAUACGAAGAAGAAGAAGAAGGAGACGGCGGAGGCCGUUGUCGGCCGGUGGCGUCACCAGGGAUAGCCAGCGGGAGCACCGCCCGAUCUCCCAUAAGGAGGAGGUCGGCAUCGGCGGCGAGCUGCUUGAGGGCGUCGGAGGCAGCAACGAGGUCGCUCUGCGUGCGGAGCUUCCCCGCGGGGGGGAUCGGUGUCACGCCCCGGGGUCCUUUUUUUUUUGUUUGGAAAAACAGCGGAAACGACUAAUUUUUUUUUUUUUAAACACCUGACCCCAGAGUAUGUCAGAUCCUCCACAAAUACAGGGAAUCCACUGUUCACACGGACAGAGUCUCCCCUGUAUUUGCACGGCGUCGCACAAGUACAAUUAUACAACCAGAGUACAACCAGAAUACAACCACAACCAUAUGAACAUACUCAGGCCGGAGCGUUGGUGAGCCCGAAAGGCAUCACCGUGAACUCGUAGUGGCCGUAACGAGUCCGGAAGGCGGUCUUCGGCACAUCCUCAGCCCGGAUCUUAAGCUGAUGGUACCCGGACUGCAGGUCAAUCUUGGAGUACACCGACGAUCCUUGCAGCUGGUCGAAAAGAUCGUCAAUCCUUGGCAGGGGAUACUUGUUCUUCACCGUGACCUUGUUGAGCUCCCGAUAGUCGAUGCACAGACGAAGACUACCAUCCUUCUUCUUGACGAAGAGGACAGGGGCACCCCAGGGAGACACACUAGGUCUGAUGAACCCUCUGUUAAGCAGAUCCUCAAGCUGCGCCUUCAGCUCCUUCAGCUCAGCGAAGGUCAUACGAUAGGGGGCCUUCGAGAUCGGUGCAGUGCCCGGAACAAGCUCGAUGAAGAAUUCGAUCUCCCGGUCCGGAGGCAUUCCUGGAAGCUCGGCUGGAAAAACGUCCGGGAAUUCCCGAACUACAGGAAUCUCCUCCAAAGAUGGUGCAGCUCGGCGAGAUACGUCUACCGAAGCCAGGUAAGCCACACACCCGGCAUUCAACAACCUUUUUGCCCUCGCAGAAGAGAUAGUCGCAGCGAAAAAAGAGCUCUUACAUGCUCGGUAGACGAAUACUUCACCACCAGGCUCGACAAGAAUCACCAUCCUCCGCUCGCAGUCGAUAGUAGCGUGAUGCCUGGUGAACCAGUCCAUCCCAAGCACCAGGUCGAAUUUCUUCAUCGGGAUAACCACCAGAUCAGCUAGAAAAGACCGAUCAUCCAAGAAGACGGGGUACGACGAGAUACAGCUGACAGCAGUAAGAUCACCUCCAGGUGUCUCGAUCCGAAGUGAUACAUCGAGUGGUUACGAGGAAAGACCAUGCUCACAUGCAAAUGAAUGUGAAAUAAAAGAGUGCGAUGCUCCAGUAUCGAAAAUGGCUCUAGCACGAGUAAGGCUGAGGGUGACAAUACCUGCAAGGACGUCGCCACCAGUGCCCUCGUGCUGAGUCAGGGCGAAGACUCUCCUACCAGAUGCCUGGCGCGUCCCCUCAGAUUGCCGAGGUAAGGGGGGACGCCCAGACGAAGCAGCUGCACUCGGGGCUCCGCGGCUCUAUCGGGGUGCAGCCUGGGAGGAGACAGCACUCAAAGAAGUCCCGCCAUCUCUAGGACACUGAGCUCGCAGGUGGCCCAGCUGGCCACAACGGAAACAGUGGUCCCUCCGCUGCGGACAUUCGACCACCCGAUGAGCCUGGCCGCAGAUCACACAGGGUCGAUCGCCCCUCUGCUGGUUGCCGGAGGGCGCACUCUUUGUCGCCUGCUGAGUGCGCAGAUGCUUUGGCGGUUUCUUGCUGAAAGAAGAAGAACCACCACCAGACUUGGCGCGAGAACGCUUCUUAUCGCCUGAUCGCUCGGAUGCAUCGCGAUCAGCUCGAACCUCCUCUGACUUACUCUGCACAAUCAGGGCCCGAUCCAGACACUCAUCGAAGGUCAUCUGUAACGCACUGGACCUUUGCAAUUUGCGAGGUUCGAGUGUAUGGCUUGUGUUAUGAGUUUUUCCAGAUUUUCUGGUGGGUCGUAGACAGUGUUCAGACCUAUGGCUCGUAUCCCGAGAAUUGUGGUAUUUCAAGUAGCACUAAGCUCGCCAAAGUGGAGGACUUAGGCUGCUCUCGGUUUGGAAAUUUCGGGGUGGCGUACCGGUACGCGGUGAUGGCUGUACCGGUACAGCCAUCGACCCUGGCAGUCAGAGCGCCAACCCGAGGCUCGGGUUGGGCUGGUUCGUGGGAUGUGUACCGGUACACAAACCCGUGUACCGGUACGCAGUGCAGUAUGGGCUGUUUCGGGGAGGGGUGUAUUUGCAACUGUUACAACACCUAUAUAGGUGACCCCAGCCCCCUUAGCUGCCCUCUUUGAGCCAUAACCAGUGGAGAUCAAGGUGAGUCUCCCCUUCCCUUGUUUGAUCUCCAUUUUUGGUGGAUUUUAUGGUGUUUUGAUCUCUCCCUUCUCCUCUUCUUUGCUUUUGUUGGGUUUUCUCCAUGGUUGAAGACUUGGAGCUUUGAGAGGAGCUUGUUUGUGAGGAGACCUCCAACCCUAGCUGAUUUUGGACUUGGUUUGAGGCUAUUUAGGAGGUUAGUAACAUGUAUUUUUCGUUUGAUACAUGUUUUGUUGGUUUUGGUUAGAGGGAACCCUAGAUUUUGAAUUUUAGGGUUAGAAAUCGGGAUUUUCGAGUUGAGGCUUUUUGAUCUUGAUUGAUCUUAUUAGAACCAUCUUUUAGGUUGGUUUUGAAGGAUUCUUGCCUCCUUUUGGGGAUCAAGAGAGAUAUUCACCAUUUUCGGUGAGUUUUUCCCACCUUAGCUUGAAAAGCUUAAUGUUUGAGCUAUGUGUUGUUUGUAUGGUUCUUGUGACACUUGUUUCCAUACCUUUAGGGUACUAGGAGAGUGGUGGACACCCUCAUCGGAACAAUCGAAGGGUCCCGUCGUCGUCGGUGGGUUUGACCUAGCCACAUAAUGAGAAAAUCUCAUUGUUGAUGAUUUAAGUAUUGUAAAAUGAAAAAGCAUGCAUAUUCAUGUUAGAUGCAUUAUUUGUGAAUUUUAGAAUGCUUAAAAUGCACAUGUUAUAUACAAUGCAUAUUUGACCUCUAUAUAGUAGAGAGUUUUCAUGUUGGGCUAGGGGCCUACGGUUAGCAUUCUUACAAUUGAUUGAGAUCAUGUUGCAUAUGGUACAUAUGGCAUAUAGAUUACACUCUUGGACUUAGAACGCAUGAUUGACGUGGUUGGACAUAUCGACAUUAAGUGACAUAGGCUAGAGUGUAUACAAAUAGUAAGCUAAUGUCAUAAAGCGGCAUUAGGCUUGGACUAGAUAUGGGUUUAGCAAGCUAAUGUCAUAAAGCGGCAUUAGACUUGAUGGAUAUGCAAAUUGCAUGUGCAUGUUAUUAUUAUGAGAAUUAUGCCAAGUUAAUAGUCGCAUUGGGAAGAACUUACAUGUAGCAAUAUGAGAACACGCUAGAGAGCAUGUGUAUUAAUCUAUUAUUGAUAGAACAAGCUAGCGUCAUAAAGAGACAUAGAAUGUGAAUUGAGCUUAGAUUAUAGCAAUGUUUAAGUGUCAUAAAGAGGCACUAAACAUAGUGAAUGUGGGAACUUCACCUUGAGCUUUGGACUUAGUAAAGCUAAGGUCAUUGACAUAGAAUUUUUAUUGAACGGUUAAACCUUCACAUCGAGACAUUGAACUAGAUCUUCGAGAUGCUAGUGACUUUUACCAUGUUAGAGACAUGAUGACUGUUGGGUGGCUAUUACCAUGUUGGAGACAUGACGAUUGGACUAUUGAGGUAUUUGACCAUGCUUGCUUGCCAUUUGUGCUCAUUCGCACAUGCUUGUGAGGGUCGCUCCCUACAAGCCAGCACUCCGGAGUUAGCCUACGCGACUUAUGUUCGCUCGUGCGGUAUCGAGUAGCCUACGGGGCCUGGAGGGAUAGACUCAUUCCUAGAGUGGAAAUGCUGGAGCUACCACUGGCACUUAGGCGGCACAAGCCGGACUACACCUGUGUAGAUCCUGAUUGAGAUUGAACCAGAAUAUUAAGCAAUAAGUGGACAUUCGCUACUAGCUAGGUUAUAGUAGUUGGACUCUUGAUAUGCUAUGGUAUAGUGUUGGACAUUUGGGCUUAGAGUAUGCUUGACAGUAUCCCUUAUUACAUUGUUGUAUUCUUGGUUGCUAUGAUAGUACAUACUAGAUAUAUAGUGGGCUCUAGAAUAUAUAUCACACUUUAUAGCAUUACUUGUUGCAUCAUGAUACAUUGUUUAAGUUUUGGGCAUAUUGGAUCAUGUAGAGUAGAUGUACUCCAUGUUGACAUUCAGAAUACUUGUGGCAUAGUAGAGUAGCACUUUAAUUUCAUGCUUUAAUUACUGUUGAUAUUUCCUGUUAUCUAUACCCGCUUGUUUUGGGCCUUGUGGUGCAAUUUGGUGCAGGUCAGUAAUUGCCCACUGGGAACUAUAAUUUAUAGUUCUCACGCCCCCUGUUUUAUGUUUUCUUUCAGAGCCUUCCACUCCGGGAGAGGCUCGGGAUCGCGGGAAAGGUUUCGCCUCGAGUUAGCUAUCGAGGGACUUGGUGAUAGGUGGCCCACCUCUCUUUUGUUUUCUUUUAGAGAGGUUGUGAGAGUUUGUAC
RNAcentral lists this long non-coding RNA (22966 nucleotides) under Ananas comosus (pineapple). RNAcentral's name for it is "long non-coding RNA (ACOM_LNC030625)". The record is from RNAcentral. Lineage: Eukaryota; Viridiplantae; Streptophyta; Magnoliopsida; Poales; Bromeliaceae.